RNAcentral lists this long non-coding RNA (629 nucleotides) under Rhinopithecus bieti (black snub-nosed monkey). RNAcentral's name for it is "lncRNA (ENSRBIG00000045584.1)". The record is from RNAcentral. Lineage: Eukaryota; Metazoa; Chordata; Mammalia; Primates; Cercopithecidae.
UCUUUUUGUAUCAACGACAGUAACAACGCAAAGUAAAACAAAACAAACAAGUGGCCCGGCAGUACUUCAGAAUCCUCUGCGGCGUCCUGUCCCCCACCCUGCCCCUCCGAGGAGAGGCAGCCCCGUGCGCAGUGUGUGUACAGUUCGCAUUGCCAACAACACCCGCGCGCGGCCGGGUGCGCGCGCCUGCCAGCGCACACUCACACACAUAGACACACAGACACACACACAGACACACACACACACACACACACACAGACAGAUCCGGGUGGGGGGAGCGGCUGCGCGAGACAGCGCGAGCCUCCGAGAAAGCGCGAGACACACCGGCGCGUGCAGCUCCGCGGCCGCCGCUUCGCCCCAGCUCUAGCCCCGCGCGACCCGUAGCCCGCCCCGGUUAUUUAUGCGGCGGCCGCGUCCGCCGGCUGCGGCUUCCUCGCCCCCCCUCCCCGGGCGCGCCCCCCACUCGCGGCAGCAGCUGCCCGGACUCGCGCGUGGGUGUGUUGUUUGGGGGCUUCUGCCUUGCCGCCGCGGGUGCCACCUCCUGGGACGCUGCCCACGGCGUCCCCGGUCGCGAUCAAACAAAUGAUAGAAGUCUGUUGAAGCUUUGUCCUGACCUAUCCUGGAAUUAG